CGCGGCCUAUCAGCUUGUUGGUGGGGUAAUGGCUCACCAAGGCGACGACGGGUAGCCGGCCUGAGAGGGUGACCGGCCACACCGGGACUGAGACACGGCCCAGACUCCUACGGGAGGCAGCAGUGGGGAAUAUUGCACAAUGGGCGAAAGCCUGAUGCAGCGACGCCGCGUGAGGGAUGACGGCCUUCGGGUUGUAAACCUCUUUCAGCACGGAAGAAGCGAAAGUGACGGUACGUGCAGAAGAAGCGCCGGCUAACUGCGUGCCAGCAGCCGCGGUAAUACGUAGGGCGCAAGCGUUGUCCGGAAUUAUUGGGCGUAAAGAGCUCGUAGGCGGUUUGUCGCGUCUGCUGUGAAAGCCCGGGGCUUAACCCCGGGUGUGCAGUGGGUACGGGCAGACUUGAGUGCAGUAGGGGAGACUGGAAUUCCUGGUGUAGCGGUGAAAUGCGCAGAUAUCAGGAGGAACACCGAUGGCGAAGGCAGGUCUCUGGGCUGUUACUGACGCUGAGGAGCGAAAGCAUGGGGAGCGAACAGGAUUAGAUACCCUGGUAGUCCAUGCCGUAAACGUUGGGCACUAGGUGUGGGGAACAUUCCACGUUUUCCGCGCCGUAGCUAACGCAUUAAGUGCCCCGCCUGGGGAGUACGG
RNAcentral lists this ribosomal RNA (643 nucleotides) under uncultured bacterium. Its description in RNAcentral is "bacterial SSU rRNA". It matches the Rfam family "Bacterial small subunit ribosomal RNA", at positions 232 to 885 of the family's 1533-position model. The record is from RNAcentral.